CCUACGGGUGGCUGCAGUAGGGAAUAUUGGGCAAUGGGCGCGAGCCUGACCCAGCCAUGCCGCGUGACGGAUGAAGGCCUUCUGGGUUGUAAACGUCUUUUGACCGGGAAGAAAAAGCCCUUGCGAGGGAAAUCGACGGUACCGGUUGAAUAAGCACCGGCUAACUCCGUGCCAGCAGCCGCGGUAAUACGGAGGGUGCAAGCGUUGUCCGGAUUUAUUGGGUUUAAAGGGUGCGUAGGUGGCCCUGCAAGUCCGUGGUGAAAGCCUGCUGCUCA
RNAcentral lists this ribosomal RNA (275 nucleotides) under uncultured Hymenobacter sp. RNAcentral's name for it is "partial 16S ribosomal RNA". It matches the Rfam family "Bacterial small subunit ribosomal RNA", at positions 338 to 611 of the family's 1533-position model. Lineage: Bacteria; Pseudomonadati; Bacteroidota; Cytophagia; Cytophagales; Hymenobacteraceae. The record is from RNAcentral.